UGGAAUGUUCUGGGUGAGGGCCUGCAGCUCGUCUGCAAGGGCUCCGGCUUCGCCUUCGGCAGCGUCGGCAUGGGAUGGAUGCGGCAGGCGCCCGGGAAGGGGCUCGAGUUCGUCGCGAGUAUUUGGAAUGAUGGUGGCUACACCAAGUACGCGCCGUCGGUCAAGGGGCGCUUCACCAUCUCCAGGGACAACGGCCAGAGCACGGUCACGCUGCAGAUGAGCAGCCUCAGGGACGACGACACGGCCACCUACUACUGCGCCAAAAAUGCUGAUGCUGAUGGUGGUUGGGGCACGUUGGCCGCAAAUAAACGAGUUUUGGGGCAAAAACCCGGACCCUUGGGCGAAGCCUGGAGGUGUGGGACACAACCAGUUGGGACCUGGGGCCGAGGUGGAGGCUGGGCGCAACGAGUCACCGUCUGGGGCCAGAGCGAGUGAGGUUUGGGGCAGGAAUGGGUGAGGCUGGAUGGGGACGUGUGAGACGUGGUGCGCGUGGUCACGUUUGGGGUGAACUGCUGAGGUUUGGGGCUGGUGGUCAAUGGUUGGUGGAAAUGGUCAAGGCUUGGUGGAGAAGGUGAAGCUUUGGGUCAAAAUCAGAUGAGCUUGGGUGGAAAUGGUCAAGUUUCACGGCAAAUGGUUGAGUUUUGGGACCAACGGUCAAUGUUUGGUGGACGUGGUCAGGGU
This is a non-coding RNA of Falco peregrinus (peregrine falcon), 681 nucleotides long. The record is from the annotation of a RefSeq genome assembly. NCBI's taxonomy places the organism in Eukaryota, Metazoa, Chordata, Aves, Falconiformes, Falconidae.